UGCUUUUUUUAGUUAUUACGUAGGCAUAUUUUUGAAUCGGGCCCGGGGCUUAGCGCCUUAGCCCAACACACAGCCAGGGCCCAGCCCAAUUUCACAUCCUAGCUCGUCCGACGCACAGAGGCCAGAGCCCCAGACCUAGCCACGCUGAGCAAGGAGUCGCCGCCGCCCGUGACUCCUCUCCGCUCCGGCGCCUCCCGGCCCUGGUCAUGUAGUCUUGUGCUAAGCGCCCAUUCGCUUCACCGGAAAAGCAAAGAAACCUCAAAGAGAUUGCUUCCUGCAGGUUUUCUCACUAUAGCUGCGUUCGGGGAAUCGCUGCUUUUCAAUCAUUCGGAAAGUUUGGUGUGCCUGUACUUUUGCAGGAAACAAAGCAUCCAAUCUGUCAGCGCCCCUACACUAGUAGCGUCCAACAUGCGCGCUGUCAAGGAGGGCCCAAACAGGGACGGAUUUGGGCCCAGGCCCGGGGCGUGCUUUUUUUUAGUUAUUACCUAGGCAUAUUUUUGAAUCGGCCCGGGGCUUAGCACCUUAGCCCAACACACAGCCAGGGCCCAGCCCAAUUUCACACCCCAGCUCGUCCGACGCACAGAGGCCAGAGCCCCAGACCUAGCCACGCUGAGCAAGGAGCCGCCGCCGCCCGUGACUCCGCUCCGCUCCGGCGCCUCCCUGGCCCCGGUCAUGUAGUCUUGUGCUAAGGGCCCAUUCGCUUCACCGGAAAAGCAAAGAAAGCUCAAAGAGAUUGCUUCCUGCAGGUUUUCUCACUGUAGCUGCGUUCGGGGAAUCGCUGCUUUUCAAUCAUUCGGGAAGUUUGGUAUGCCUGUACUUUUGCAGGAAACAAAGCAUCCAAUCUGUCAGCGCCCCUACACUAGUAGCGUCCAACACGCGCGCUGUCAAGGAGGGCCCAGACAAGGACGGAUUUGGGCCCAGGCCCGGGGCGUGCUUUUUUAGUUAUUACCUAGGCAUAUUUUUGAAUCGGGCUCGGGGCUUAGCGCCUUAGCCCAACACACAGCCAGGGCCCAGCCCAAUUUCACACCCUAGCUCGUCCGACGCACAAAGGCCAGAGCCCCAGACCUAGCCACGCUGAGCAAGGAGCCGCCGCCCGCCCGUGACUCCUCUCCGCUCCGGCGCCUCCCUGGCCCCGGUCAUCCCAGGUCCCUCCGUGGCUCCGCCACUCGCCCGC
This 1174-nucleotide long non-coding RNA is filed under the name Triticum aestivum (bread wheat). RNAcentral's name for it is "long non-coding RNA (TAES_LNC010132)". The record is from RNAcentral. Lineage: Eukaryota; Viridiplantae; Streptophyta; Magnoliopsida; Poales; Poaceae.